GGGGCAGGCCGGGCAAUCGCGGUGCGCAGCAUCGAGGAAGGUCCGGACUCCAUAGGGCAGGAUAGCGGCUAACAGCCGUCCGGCAAGUCUGGUUCGCCAGGCGAGCCGAGGAACAGGGCCACAGAGACGAGUCUGCAGCGAAGGCAUUCGUGCAUCGGCACGGCGACUUCCGUGCUGCGCGCCGGGUUUCCCGGCGCGGCGCUGCAGGGUGAAACGCGGUAACCUCUAUCCGGAGCAACACCAAAUAGGCAUGCGCGCGCCUUCGGCGCACAAGGGCGGCCCGUCCGAGCAUGCGGGUAGGUGGCUGGAGCGCGCCAGCAAUGGCGCGCCAAGAGGAAUGAUUGCCCGCCGCGUUCGCGCGGCGUACAGAAUCCGGCCUACAGGCCUGUCCCACAU
This 396-nucleotide RNase P RNA is filed under the name Paracandidimonas soli. RNAcentral's name for it is "Bacterial RNase P class A". It matches the Rfam family "Bacterial RNase P class A". Rfam says of the family: Ribonuclease P (RNase P) is a ubiquitous endoribonuclease, found in archaea, bacteria and eukarya as well as chloroplasts and mitochondria. Its best characterised activity is the generation of mature 5'-ends of tRNAs by cleaving the 5'-leader elements of precursor-tRNAs. Cellular RNase Ps are ribonucleoproteins. The record is from Rfam by way of RNAcentral. Lineage: Bacteria; Pseudomonadati; Pseudomonadota; Betaproteobacteria; Burkholderiales; Alcaligenaceae.